This 832-nucleotide ribosomal RNA is filed under the name uncultured bacterium. RNAcentral describes it as "bacterial SSU rRNA". It matches the Rfam family "Bacterial small subunit ribosomal RNA", at positions 100 to 934 of the family's 1533-position model. The record is from RNAcentral.
CACGGGUGCGUAACGCGUACACAACAUACCCUUUACUGGGGGAUAGCGGUGGGAAACUGCCAGUAAUACCCCAUGUCCUCGCGGGGCGGCAUUGUUUUGCGAGGAAAGUUACGGCGGUAAAGGAUUGGUGUGCGUCCGAUUAGCUUGUUGGCGGGGUAACGGCCCACCAAGGCGACGAUCGGUAGGGGGUGUGAGAGCAUGGCCCCCCACACGGGUACUGAGACACGGACCCGACUCCUACGGGAGGCAGCAGUAAGGAAUAUUGGACAAUGGUCGGAAGACUGAUCCAGCCAUGCCGCGUGAAGGAAGAAGGCGCUCAGCGUUGUAAACUUCUUUUGAACGGGAAUAAUAACCUCCACGAGUUGGGGGCUUGAAGGUACCGUCAGAAUAAGCACCGGCUAACUCCGUGCCAGCAGCCGCGGUAAUACGGAGGGUGCGAGCGUUAUCCGGAAUCACUGGGUUUAAAGGGUGCGUAGGCUGCCCGAUAAGUCAGUUGUGAAAUAUCCUCGCUCAACGAGGGGACUGCGAUUGAUACUGUCGGGCUUGAAUAGGGUUGAGGCAGGCGGAAUGUGGCAUGUAGCGGUGAAAUGCAUAGAUAUGCCAUAGAACACCGAUUGCGAAGGCAGCCUGCUGGGCCUUUAUUGACGCUGAGGCACGAAAGCGUGGGGAGCAAACAGGAUUAGAUACCCUGGUAGUCCACGCCCUAAACGAUGUUUACUUGCUGUUCGGGCAUAUGCUUGAGUGGCGAAGCGAAAGCGAUAAGUAAACCACCUGGGGAGUACGCCGGCAACGGUGAAACUCAAGGAAUUGACGGGGGUCCGCACAAGCGGUG